CCUACGGGAGGCAGCAGUGGGGAAUAUUGGGCAAUGGGCGCAAGCCUGACCCAGCAACGCCGCGUGAAGGAAGAAGGCUUUCGGGUUGUAAACUUCUUUUCUGGGGGACGAACAAAUGACGGUACCCCAGGACUAAGCCACGGCUAACUACGUGCCAUCAGCCGCGGUAAUACGAAGGUGGAAAGCGUUAUCCGGAUGUCUUGGGUGUCAAGGGCGUGUAGGCGGGAAUGCAAGUCAGAUGUGACAACUAUGGGCUCAACCCAUAGCCUGCAUUUGAAACUGUAGUUCGUGAGUGCUGGAGAGGCAAUCGGAAUUCCGUGUUUAGCGGUGAAAUGCGUAGAUAUACGGCGGAGCACCAGUGGCGAAGGCGGAUUGCUGGACAGUAACUGACGCUGAGGCGCGAAAGCGUGGGGAGCAAACAGGAUUAGAUACCCUUGUAGUC
RNAcentral lists this ribosomal RNA (442 nucleotides) under uncultured bacterium. Its description in RNAcentral is "partial 16S ribosomal RNA". It matches the Rfam family "Bacterial small subunit ribosomal RNA", at positions 338 to 795 of the family's 1533-position model. The record is from RNAcentral.